GCCUAACACAUGCAAGUCGAACGGCAGCACAGGGGAGCUUGCUCCCUGGGUGGCGAGUGGCGGACGGGUGAGUAAUACAUCGGGACCUACCCAUGACGUGGGGGAUAACCUCGGGAAACCGGGACUAAUACCGCAUACGUCCUACGGGAGAAAGCGGGGGACCUUCGGGCCUCGCGCGUCUGGACGGACCGAUGUUCGAUUAGCUAGUUGGUGGGGUAAAGGCCUACCAAGGCGACGAUCGAUAGCUGGUCUGAGAGGAUGAUCAGCCACAUUGGGACUGAGACACGGCCCAAACUCCUACGGGAGGCAGCAGUGGGGAAUAUUGGACAAUGGGCGCAAGCCUGAUCCAGCAAUGCCGCGUGUGUGAAGAAGGCCUUCGGGUUGUAAAGCACUUUUAUCAGGAGCGAAAUCGGCAAGGUUAAUAACCGUGUCGUCUGACGGUACCUGAGGAAUAAGCACCGGCUAACUUCGUGCCAGCAGCCGCGGUAAUACGAAGGGUGCAAGCGUUAAUCGGAAUUACUGGGCGUAAAGGGUGCGUAGGCGGUUAGUUAAGUCUGUUGUGAAAUCCCCGGGCUCAACCUGGGAAUGGCAAUGGAUACUGGCUGGCUAGAGUGUGUCAGAGGAUGGUGGAAAUUCCCGGUGUAGCGGUGAAAUGCGUAGAGAUCGGGAGGAACAUCAGUGGCGAAGGCGGCCAUCUGGGACACACUGACGCUGAAGGCCGAAAGCCGUGGAGGAAACAGCAUUAGAUACCCUGGUAGGCCCGCCCUAAACGAUGCGAACUGGACGUUGGUCUCAACUCGGAGAUCAGUGUCGAAGCUAACGCGUUAAGUUCGCCGCCUGGGGAGUACGGUCCCAAGACUGAAACUCAAAGGAAUUGACGGGGGCCCGCACAAGCGGUGGAGUAUGUGGUUUAAUUCGAUGCAACGCGAAGAACCUUACCUGGCCUUGACAUGUCGCGAAUCCUGCAGAGAUGCGGGAGUGCCUUCGGGAAUGCGAACACAGGUGCUGCAUGGCUGUCGUCAGCUCGUGUCGUGAGAUGUUGGGUUAAGUCCCGCAACGAGCGCAACCCUUGUCCUUAGUUGCCAGCACGUAAUGGUGGGAACUCUAAGGAGACUGCCGGUGACAAACCGGAGGAAGGUGGGGAUGACGUCA
Molecule: ribosomal RNA, 1152 nt
Filed under: uncultured Lysobacteraceae bacterium
Lineage: Bacteria; Pseudomonadati; Pseudomonadota; Gammaproteobacteria; Lysobacterales; Lysobacteraceae
Description: bacterial SSU rRNA
Rfam family: Bacterial small subunit ribosomal RNA
Source: RNAcentral